This 75-nucleotide transfer RNA is filed under the name Marmota monax (woodchuck). RNAcentral describes it as "tRNA.Ala". Lineage: Eukaryota; Metazoa; Chordata; Mammalia; Rodentia; Sciuridae. The record is from RNAcentral.
AUGGGGUUAUGGCUCAGCAGUAGAGCACCUGCCUAGCAUGUGUGGGGCCCUGGGUUCAAAUCUCAGCACCACAUA